RNAcentral lists this ribosomal RNA (395 nucleotides) under uncultured bacterium. RNAcentral describes it as "bacterial SSU rRNA". It matches the Rfam family "Bacterial small subunit ribosomal RNA", at positions 505 to 898 of the family's 1533-position model. The record is from RNAcentral.
GUGUCAGCCGCCGCGGUAAAACGUAGGAGGCAAGCGUUAUCCGGAUUUAUUGGGCGUAAAGCGCAUGCAGGUGGUUUUACAAGUCGGAUGUGAAAGCUCCUGGCUUAACUGGGAGAGGUCGUUCGAAACUGUAAGACUGGAGGUCGGAAGAGGGAAGCGGAAUUCCCGGUGUAGUGGUGGAAUGCGUAGAUAUCGGGAGGAACACCAGUGGCGAAAGCGGCUUCCUGGUCCGAUUCUGACACUCAGAUGCGAAAGCGUGGGGAGCGAACAGGAUUAGAUACCCUGGUAGUCCACGCUGUAAACGAUGGGUACUGGGUAUCGGUGGUAUUGACCCCAUCGGUGCCGAAGCUAACGCGUUAAGUACCCCGCCUGGGGACUACGGCCGCAAGGUUAAA